GGAUGUGAGGGCAACCUGGCUGUGACAUCUGUCACUCCCUUGAUCAUCAGGGUUGAUUUGGCUGAUCUGGCUAGCUAGGCAGGUGUCCCCUUUCUCCCUCACUGCUCCAGGUGUGUUCCUUCUGAAGCUGCAUGCUCAGUUGAAGAGGAUUACCUUCCCCAAGAGAGGAGGACCAUUCUUUGGUCAAGCACAUACUAGUAGAUGUGCUUCCCUGCUAGAACCUCUAAACUAGUUCUCAGGGUCCAUUUGUAGGAGAACAUAGGGUAGUCAAGCUCUCAAGACUCCAGACACAUCCAAAUGAGGCACUGCAUGUGACAGUCUGCCCCUUUCU
This is a non-coding RNA of Equus caballus (horse), 331 nucleotides long. NCBI's taxonomy places the organism in Eukaryota, Metazoa, Chordata, Mammalia, Perissodactyla, Equidae. The record is from Rfam.